This 343-nucleotide unclassified non-coding RNA is filed under the name soil metagenome. Its description in RNAcentral is "partial contains 5.8S ribosomal RNA, internal transcribed spacer 2, and large subunit ribosomal RNA". The stretch from base 1 to 120 matches the Rfam family "5.8S ribosomal RNA", at positions 35 to 154 of the family's 154-position model. The record is from RNAcentral.
GAUGAAGAACGUAGCGACACGCGAUAAGUAAUGUGAAUUGCAGAAUCCAGUGAAUCAUCGAAUCUUUGAACGCACAUUGCGCCCGCCAGCAUUCUGGCGGGCAUGCCUGUUCGAGCGUCAUUUCAACCCUCGACCUCCCCUUGGGGAGGUCGGCGUUGGGGACCGGCAGCACACCGCCGGCCCUGAAAUGGAGUGGCGGCCCGUCCGCGGCGACCUCUGCGCAGUAAUACAGCUCGCACCGGGACCCCGACGCGGCCACGCCGUAAAACACCCAACUUCUGAACGUUGACCUCGAAUCAGGUAGGACUACCCGCUGAACUUAAGCAUAUCAAUAAGCGGAGGA